GACCUGGGAGGCAUGAAAAGGCCCCAAGGACACCACACUCCAGCCCAGGAGCCUGAGGAGGCGACGUCCUGUGAGUGUCCCCACCAUGGCCUGGAUGGUGCUUCUUCUCGGGCUCCUUGCUUACAGCUCAGGGGCGGAUUCUCAGUCUGUGGUGACCCAGGAGCCAUCACUCUCAGUGUCUUCAGGAGGGACAGUCACACUCACCUGUGGCCUUAACUCUGGGUCAGUCUCUUCCAGUAACCACCCCAGCUGGCACCAGCAAACCCCAGGCCAGGCUCCCCGCACACUUAUCUACUACACAAACACCCGUGCCUCUGGAGUCCCUAAUCGCUUCUCUGGAUCCAUCUCCGGGAACAGAACCACCCUCACUAUCACGGGGGCCCAGCGUGAGGACGAGGCCGACUAUUACUGCGCUCUGUAUACGGGUAGUUACACUGACACAGUGCUGUAAACCCACGGGGAAGUACAACCAAAACCUCCUCCUGUGCUCAGAAUGGCUCAGCCCUUCAAGGCAGGAAAGGAAGUGAGAGGGUGGAGACGGUAACACCACCAUGGCGGGGAGGCCCUUGGCGCCAUCCUCCUAUCCACUGGUCCAUCGUCACAUGCCUCCUCCAGCGUCUCCCAGGCUGUGUCCAUCCCUCUAGGGUGACUCCUCCAAGACUUUCCUUCCUCUCUCCCUCUCUGCCUGUGAUGAUGGGAGGGGGACUCGGGUUCAAAAUACAUCAACCAACAGUGAGACUCGGAGACCCCACCACAACCUUUGAGACUCUUUUUAUUCAAACAGCAUUGA
Molecule: non-coding RNA, 790 nt
Organism: Equus caballus (horse)
Lineage: Eukaryota; Metazoa; Chordata; Mammalia; Perissodactyla; Equidae
Source: the annotation of a RefSeq genome assembly